This 166-nucleotide ribosomal RNA is filed under the name uncultured bacterium. RNAcentral describes it as "partial 16S ribosomal RNA". It matches the Rfam family "Bacterial small subunit ribosomal RNA", at positions 365 to 526 of the family's 1533-position model. The record is from RNAcentral.
CCCCUAUCGGGCGCAGCCUGAUCAGCAUGCCGCGUGGGUGAAGAAGGCCUUCGGGUUGUAAAGCCCUUUCGGCGGGGAAGAAAUCGGUCAGGCGAAUAGUCUGGCUGGAUGACGGUACCCGCAGAAGAAGCACCGGCUAACUACGUGCCAGCAGCCGCGGUAAUAA